This 1405-nucleotide unclassified non-coding RNA is filed under the name Hevea brasiliensis (rubber tree). The record is from RNAcentral. Lineage: Eukaryota; Viridiplantae; Streptophyta; Magnoliopsida; Malpighiales; Euphorbiaceae.
CACACACACACUUAGAGAGGACAGAGAGGACAGGUGAAGGUAGAGAAUGACAAAAUUGGCCCUGUCCACCAUUGCUCUUCCUAGAUAAACUAGGAACAACCAGCAAAAGUCUCCAACUGCCACAAUGUAAACAGACAAAAGAUUCUAUUGAUUUUCAAGCAAAAAACCAAUAAAAAUUAAAUUCUAUAGAAGACAAAAAGAAGACUUUAGAGCUGGAGAAGCAGAAAUAUUUGAUAUUUCAUGUUCCUAAAAAGUUACAUGCUGCAGAAAAGCUCCUUCUUGAUCCUCUUUUAAUCUCAAAGUUCCCACUGUUUAGUCUUUUAGACUCCUUACUAUGAGAACACCAGCAUAUAAAACUUCCAAAUGCACCCCAAAAAGGUCUGAGUUUCUCAGUACAAUCCCUGAACUUAAAUCAGGUAAAUGGGAUAAAAGCGGAUGAGCAUGGACUCAAUGCUGUGGUUGUCCAGCAUUCAGAGUUGGUGACUUGUAUAAAUGGUUGUGAUUGCAUGGGGAAACAUGAGGACCGUUUGGUAUGGUGAGGUUCCUGGUUGGUUGCACAUUCCUCGACAUCCCUUGACAUGCUUUGCUUCCAGUUCGAGUUCUAGGAUUUGAGCUGCCACGCUCUGCUUGCAUGGCCUGAAAGUAGGAUGAAGAACAGGCCAUGUCCUUGAGGUGGGGCAGAGGUUUUAAGACUUCAACAAUUUCACUCAUCAGAGGUCUGGCUUUUGCAUCACGGUUGAGGCAGUGAGCAGCCAACUGUAUUGCCUUCUGAGCACCCUUGAUUGAGAACUGUCCUUCAAGGCGAGGAUCUAUCAGUCGGUAGAACCUUCGCGUCUCCCCAAGAUACGGUCGUGCCCAUUCCACCAAAUUACGUUCACCAUUUGGCCGGUUUUUGUCCAUGGAUCUUCUGCCAGUUAACAGUUCAAGUAAAACCACCCCAAAGCUAUAAAUAUCGCUCUUGGAGGUAAGAUGUCCUGUCAUCACGUAUUCAGGCGCUGCAUAACCAUAUGUUCCCAUGACACGUGUAGACACAUGAGUCUUAUCUCCUUCAGGACCAUCUUUGGCAAGCCCAAAAUCAGAAAGCUUGGCAUUGUAAUCAGCAUCUAGCAGGAUGUUAGAUGUUUUAAAAUCUCGAUAUAUCACUGGCCGUUCAGCUUCCUCAUGAAGAAAUGCAAGGCCCUGUGCAGCACCGAGUGCAAUCUUCAUUCUGGUGGACCAAGGGAGAGGCAGGGACCUUCUGAAGAGGUGAUUCUCCAAGCUUCCUCGGGGCAUAAACUCGUAAACAAGCAGCCUUUGAUCAUCCUCAAUGCAGUACCCAAUUAACUUAACCAAAUUAGGAUGGAGAAGGUCACCAAGAUAAUUAACUUCAGCAAGCCAUUCUUUAUGACCCUGAAGUCCAUCAUGG